CUCUUAUCUAGAGUGGCGGAGGGACUAGGCCCUGCGAUGCCCGGCAACCGGCAAGUGAUUAACUUGCAAAGGUGCUAAUUCCUACAGAUUUCUUUAGUGGAGAUCUGAAAGAUAAGAG
Molecule: regulatory RNA element, 118 nt
Organism: Paenisporosarcina sp. HGH0030
Lineage: Bacteria; Bacillati; Bacillota; Bacilli; Caryophanales; Caryophanaceae
Rfam family: SAM riboswitch aptamer (S box leader)
About the family: The SAM riboswitch is found upstream of a number of genes which code for proteins involved in methionine or cysteine biosynthesis in Gram-positive bacteria. The SAM riboswitch acts at the level of transcription termination control.
Source: Rfam